Molecule: ribosomal RNA, 536 nt
Filed under: Fusarium chlamydosporum
Lineage: Eukaryota; Fungi; Ascomycota; Sordariomycetes; Hypocreales; Nectriaceae
Description: eukaryotic LSU rRNA
Rfam family: 5.8S ribosomal RNA (bases 152-305)
Source: RNAcentral
UGGGCUUCCGAGCUCCUCCAACCCCUGUGACAUACCUAUACGUUGCCUCGGCGGAUCAGCCCGCGCCCCGUAAAACGGGACGGCCCGCCGCAGGAUCCACAAACCCUGAAUUUUUAUUGUAACUUCUGAGUCUAAAAAACAAAUAAAUCAAAACUUUCAACAACGGAUCUCUUGGUUCUGGCAUCGAUGAAGAACGCACCAAAAUGCGAUAAGUAAUGUGAAUUGCAGAAUUCAGUGAAUCAUCGAAUCUUUGAACGCACAUUGCGCCCGCCAGUAUUCUGGCGGGCAUGCCUGUUCGAGCGUCAUUUCAACCCUCAAGCCCCCGGGUUUGGUGUUGGGGAUCGGGAACUGCGGCUCUGCCGCGUCCCGGCCCCGAAAUCUAGUGGCGGUCUCGCUGCAGCCUCCAUUGCGUAGUAGCUAACACCUCGCAACUGGAACGCGGCGCGGCCAAGCCGUUAAACCCCCAACUUCUGAAUGUUGACCUCGGAUCAGGUAGGAAUACCCGCUGAACUUAAGCAUAUCAAUAAGCGGAGGAA